Long non-coding RNA from Propithecus coquereli (Coquerel's sifaka), 286 nucleotides. RefSeq lists it as uncharacterized. The transcript has 3 exons. The record is from RefSeq and is a predicted model, not a curated record. Lineage: Eukaryota; Metazoa; Chordata; Mammalia; Primates; Indriidae.
CCCCUCGUGUGUCUCCAGAGAGUGCAAGAAAUUACUGAAGGGUUUACUUGUGGUAAAUCCACUUGGAAGAAGCUCUCUCCAGAAAAUUAUGCACAAUAAGUGGGUAAACGUGGGACACACGGAGACACUGGCACCGUACGUCGAAAAGAAAAUCGACACCCACAAUGAGAAACGCAUUGAAAUUCUACUGAGGAUGGGCUACGAAGAACAGGACAUCGAGGAGUCUCUGAAGAAACAACUACCUGAUGAAAUAAGUGCCACCUAUAAAUUAUUAGAGGAAAGACCU